GUACUCACAGCUCAAUUCGAGCGUACUGUCUAAAUUUCUAAAUUUUAGUUUAAAUUUAUUUUUGGAAUUUUUAAUGUUUUCGAAUAUCUUUUUAUUUUAAUUUUGGUUUUCUCUUUUGGUGCCGUGAGCUGAAGUCAAAUAUAAAUUUAAGUUGCAGACGAUGCUUCGCUGUUAAGUAGAGGAUGCCACACGAAAUGGCUAAUUGGAAAAUUCGUUAAUAGUUUCUAUUUAUAUCGAAUAUCAUCAUGUAAACAUUUCUACAAGUCCUGCGGUCAACUCUAUAUAUAUAUACAUAUAUACAUACGUAUCAACAGCAACAAGAACCGACUUCUUAGGUCACGCUUACCAGUUGAGAUCAAAUAUAAACACAACACACACAGACUCAUUACAAUGAUUAACAACGAUGUAAUCAAGGCCUUCUGAGUCUGGGGCGCACAUUCUCUGGCGUAUCUGGUGGAUGUCAACGUAAACCACGAACAAAAACGCAACGGAAUAAAACAAACACUACAUUCACAAUAACAAAAUUCAAAACAAUACCAAAAUUCAAAAACAAUAUACAAAUUUAAAUACAAUUACGCAAAUACAAUUGCACAAAAAUACAAUUAGACAGAUGCAAAACAAUUACGCACACAAUCAGACACAAAAUUUUAUAUAUAUUUAUAUAUAUUCAGCAUAUUUAUGAACUCUCAUCAAUCAUCAUUACAACGCGAUUGCCACUCCAUAUAGAUUGCACAUACAAACCCAUAAAUUUAACAGUGUAGAAGCUACUACUGAUAUGCAAAUUUCAUCAAUCGCUUCCGAACGCAGACGAUUUUAAUUAGAUUUUACACAGAUUGAGGCUAACACAGAUACAAAACAGGCUUUAUAUAUUCGAUUGGUUUUCAAUUUCUAGAGAGCUCUUCCAUCCACUCUUGCUGCAGGACGGUACCACGCUAUUUGCAGGGCGUUGCAGUUGGCGUCGUGUAUGAAAUAUCUACAAAGAGAGAUCCAAUUGAAUUUACAAUGCACAGCAGCCGAUUCUCAGUUAAACACACAUGAAAAGACAAAAAAAUCAAAUAAAUACAAAUGAAACUCAAGUUUCUUUAGCCGGUGCACAGCAAUUUUAAUUAUAGUUCGUAUUAAACAAAAAAAAACGCAAAGCCGGGUUGGAUUCAGGUGUGCCAUUAACACAAUUUUAUUUUGAGGUCUUGUUUCUUUCGUUUACAGGACGGUACCACGCCCUUUCAGUUGAAACGAGGGACGCGAAGCUGGCGUCCAUUUUACCAAAAUGGAGUAAAUCUUGUUAUUACACAAAUUUUAAUAAAUUGCUACUUCUGAUGGAGAACACAC
Long non-coding RNA from Drosophila hydei, 1329 nucleotides. RefSeq lists it as uncharacterized. The transcript has 6 exons. NCBI's taxonomy places the organism in Eukaryota, Metazoa, Arthropoda, Insecta, Diptera, Drosophilidae. The record is from RefSeq and is a predicted model, not a curated record.